This 75-nucleotide transfer RNA is filed under the name Dictyoglomus thermophilum. Its description in RNAcentral is "tRNA-Thr". It matches the Rfam family "tRNA". From Rfam's summary of the family: Transfer RNA (tRNA) molecules are approximately 80 nucleotides in length. The record is from RNAcentral. Lineage: Bacteria; Pseudomonadati; Dictyoglomota; Dictyoglomia; Dictyoglomales; Dictyoglomaceae. RNAcentral also lists the same sequence under 5 other names.
GCCGAGGUAGCUCAGCGGCAGAGCAGCUGAUUUGUAAUCAGCGGGUCGGGGGUUCGAAUCCCUUCCUCGGCUCCA